CGAUGAACCUCACUUGUGGGGGGAUUAGUGGCGAACGGGUGAGUAACACGUGAGUAACCUGCCCUUAACUCUGGGAUAAGCCUGGGAAACUGGGUCUAAUACCGGAUAUGACUCCUCAUCGCAUGGUGGGGGGUGGAAAGCUUUUUGUGGUUUUGGAUGGACUCGCGGCCUAUCAGCUUGUUGGUGAGGUAAUGGCUUACCAAGGCGACGACGGGUAGCCGGCCUGAGAGGGUGACCGGCCACACUGGGACUGAGACACGGCCCAGACUCCUACGGGAGGCAGCAGUGGGGAAUAUUGCACAAUGGGCGCAAGCCUGAUGCAGCGACGCCGCGUGAGGGAUGACGGCCUUCGGGUUGUAAACCUCUUUCAGUAGGGAAGAAGCGAAAGUGACGGUACCUGCAGAAGAAGCGCCGGCUAACUACGUGCCAGCAGCCGCGGUAAUACGUAGGGCGCAAGCGUUAUCCGGAAUUAUUGGGCGUAAAGAGCUCGUAGGCGGUUUGUCGCGUCUGCCGUGAAAGUCCGGGGCUCAACUCCGGAUCUGCGGUGGGUACGGGCAGACUAGAGUGAUGUAGGGGAGACUGGAAUUCCUGGUGUAGCGGUGAAAUGCGCAGAUAUCAGGAGGAACACCGAUGGCGAAGGCAGGUCUCUGGGCAUUAACUGACGCUGAGGAGCGAAAGCAUGGGGAGCGAACAGGAUUAGAUACCCUGGUAGUCCAUGCCGUAAACGUUGGGCACUAGGUGUG
RNAcentral lists this ribosomal RNA (743 nucleotides) under Arthrobacter sp. tz21. RNAcentral describes it as "bacterial SSU rRNA". It matches the Rfam family "Bacterial small subunit ribosomal RNA", at positions 67 to 824 of the family's 1533-position model. Lineage: Bacteria; Bacillati; Actinomycetota; Actinomycetes; Micrococcales; Micrococcaceae. The record is from RNAcentral.